AACUUUCAGCAACGGAUCACUUGGCUCUCGCAUCGAUGAAGAACGCAGCGAAAUGCGAUAAGUAAUGUGAAUUGCAGAUUUCAGUGAAUCAUCGAAUCUUUGAACGCACCUUGCGCCCCUUGGUAUUCCGAGGGGCAUGCCUGUUUGAGUGUCAUCAAAUCCUCAACCCCCUCCGAUUUGUUUCGGUGGGGGAUUGGACUUGGAGCGUGCUGGCGAAGGUCGGCUCCUCUUUAAAUGCAUCAGCGGAGAAAAUGCCUUUUGCGCCUCUGGCCGUUCAGCGUGAUAAUGACGUUGCGCUGCGGUCGAGCUCAAGGUCCGCUUCCAAAGGUCCUCGGACGAACGUAAACAUGACUUUUGACCUCAAAUCAGGUAGGACUACCCGCUGAACUUAAGCAUAUCAAUAAGCGGAGGCU
This 413-nucleotide unclassified non-coding RNA is filed under the name uncultured Tylospora. RNAcentral's name for it is "sequence contains ITS2". The stretch from base 1 to 154 matches the Rfam family "5.8S ribosomal RNA". The record is from RNAcentral. Lineage: Eukaryota; Fungi; Basidiomycota; Agaricomycetes; Atheliales; Atheliaceae.